This is a long non-coding RNA of Pseudoliparis swirei, 458 nucleotides long. RefSeq lists it as uncharacterized. The transcript is spliced from 2 exons. The record is from RefSeq and is a predicted model, not a curated record. Lineage: Eukaryota; Metazoa; Chordata; Actinopteri; Perciformes; Liparidae.
CAGCGCCUCUCUCUCCACACAGCGGUCAUAGUGCGCCGCCUGCUGGAAUGUGGGCGGAGCUGUGAGAGAUCCUUCUGUCCUCUCGUCGGCCGCUCACCAAUCCUGACCCAGUGACGUAGACUGCCUCUCCGGAAGAUUUCCCAGCAGCCUCUUGGGUUCCUCAGCAGGGCGGGCAGAACCUGAAGUGGGUCAGACCGCGUAAGACCAGGUUCUGGACCCGAGUGCAGUUCAGGGCAGCUCCCAGACCUGUGUUUCUGUGUUUCCUGCCCAGAGAGAGGGGCGUUUAAACCCGGUUGUCGGUUCCCUCACGUGGUCCCGGCUCCAGCACCCUGAUAGAGGCCCUCUGCGGGUAGAAGGCCUCAUAUACCCCUCAGGAACAUAGUAUAGUUGUGUUAUUUCGAUAGCACAUAUACUAAAAUUGGAACGAUACAGAGAAGAUUAGCAUGGCCCCUGCGCAA